CGGGGAGAGUGUUGGUAUCUCAAGGAGGUUUCAUAAGCCUCCAUCCGCGGGUUCGAUUCCCGCCUCCGCAACCA
Molecule: transfer RNA, 74 nt
Filed under: Roseibacillus persicicus
Lineage: Bacteria; Pseudomonadati; Verrucomicrobiota; Verrucomicrobiia; Verrucomicrobiales; Verrucomicrobiaceae
Description: tRNA-Ser
Rfam family: tRNA (bases 3-68)
About the family: Transfer RNA (tRNA) molecules are approximately 80 nucleotides in length.
Source: RNAcentral